This 216-nucleotide ribosomal RNA is filed under the name Glomeromycotina sp. RNAcentral's name for it is "partial small subunit ribosomal RNA". The stretch from base 40 to 216 matches the Rfam family "Eukaryotic small subunit ribosomal RNA", at positions 686 to 864 of the family's 1831-position model. Lineage: Eukaryota; Fungi; Glomeromycota. The record is from RNAcentral.
GGGUCAAUAGGUUGGUCGUGCCACCGGUACGUACUGGUCUCACUGAUUCCUCCUUCCUGAAGAACCGUAAUGCCAUUAAUUUGGUGUUGCGGGGAAACAGGACUGUUACUUUGAAAAAAUUAGAGUGUUUAAAGCAAGCUAACGCUUGAAUACAUUAGCAUGGAAUAAUGGAAUAGGACGAUCGAUCCUAUUUUGUUGGUUUCUAGGAUUGACGUA